Molecule: ribosomal RNA, 484 nt
Filed under: uncultured bacterium
Lineage: Bacteria
Description: partial 16S ribosomal RNA
Rfam family: Bacterial small subunit ribosomal RNA
Source: RNAcentral
AUUGAACGCUGGCGGCAUGCUUUACACAUGCAAGUCGAACGGCAGCGCGGGCUUCGGCCUGGCUGCGAGUGGCGAACGGGUGAGUAAUGCAUCGGAACGUGCCCAGUAGUGGGGGAUAGCCCGGCGACAGCCGGAUUAAUACCGCAUACGACCUGAGGGUGAAAGCGGGGGACCGAAAGGCCUCGCGCUAUUGGAGCGGCCGAUGUCGGAUUAGCUAGUUGGUGGGGUAAAGGCUUACCAAGGCGACGAUCCGUAGCUGGUCUGAGAGGACGACCAGCCACACUGGGACUGAGACACGGCCCAGACUCCUACGGGAGGCAGCAGUGGGGAAUUUUGGACAAUGGGGGCAACCCUGAUCCAGCCAUGCCGCGUGCGGGAAGAAGGCCUUCGGGUUGUAAACCGCUUUUGUUCGGGAAGAAAUCCUGUGGGCUAAUACCCCGGGGGGAUGACGGUACCGGAAGAAUAAGCACCGGCUAACUACGUG